This 261-nucleotide ribosomal RNA is filed under the name uncultured prokaryote. RNAcentral's name for it is "partial 16S ribosomal RNA". It matches the Rfam family "Bacterial small subunit ribosomal RNA", at positions 524 to 784 of the family's 1533-position model. The record is from RNAcentral.
UACGUAGGUGGCAAGCGUUGUCCGGAUUUAUUGGGCGUAAAGGGAGCGCAGGCGGUGACUUAAGUCUGAUGUGAAAGCCCACGGCUCAACCGUGGAAGGUCAUUGGAAACUGGGUCACUUGAAUAUAGAAGAGGAAAGUGGAAUUCCAUGUGUAGCGGUGAAAUGCGUAGAUAUAUGGAGGAACACCUGUGGCGAAGGCGACUUUCUGGUCUAUUAUUGACGCUGAGGCUCGAAAGCAUGGGUAGCAAACAGGAUUAGAUA